This is a long non-coding RNA of Limulus polyphemus (Atlantic horseshoe crab), 1649 nucleotides long. RefSeq lists it as uncharacterized. Lineage: Eukaryota; Metazoa; Arthropoda; Merostomata; Xiphosura; Limulidae. The transcript has 2 exons. The record is from RefSeq and is a predicted model, not a curated record.
UGGGUGGUGAUGAUUAGCUGCCUUCCCUCUAGUCUUACACUUCUAAAUUAGGGACGGUUAGCGCAGAUAGCCCUCGUGUAGCUUUGCACGAAAUUCAAAACAAACAAACAAUCAUAAUUGAAGCACAUUGUGACACAAAAUCUUAAUAUGCCAGUUCUAUCUUGAAUGAUACAGCUAAUUUCUGAUAAUGAAUAAAAUUGUAACUAUAACAUUAAGCUCACUUUAUGAAACUAGCAGAAAUAGUAAAGUUCAUAUUUGAUGAUAUGAAUAUGUAUGAAUUUUACACCUUGUCAGUCAUAGUCCUUUUAAGCAUGGGAAAAAUUUCAUAUGGUUGUGUAAAGUACUGGUGAGUAAUAAUAUAAAAACCUUGGUAUAAACAACAUUCUUUAAUAAUAUAUGUUAAGAAAGUGUAGAAUAUUUUAAAAUAAAUAUUAGUAUUGUGGUGUAACAUGCAUUUUCAACUUUCCCAUUUUAAUGUAGAAUUUUUGAAAAAAAUAAUUUUCUCUAGAUAUAUGCAGUUUUUGCAUAACGUGGUUAAGAAAAAUGUUAAGUUGAUUUCAUUCUGGCUGCCUUUCUUUCUCAUUCCGUUAACAUAACACCUAUUCUACCAAUGGAAGUAUAGCUGUAAAGCUGCACUUUGUGCAUGAAUGUCAAAGGCAGUAUCCUCCAGUGGUAGGUUAAGUGAUAUCUCGAGGUUACAACCUUCCUUUUGUAUGAAUGGCAAUGACCAGUUAUGUGGUAGCACUAGUUGCUCUGGGUAUAAGUCUUACAUUAUUUAUUCAACUUGGUAAUGUGAGAUUUAGUCAAUCCGAAACAAAAUAAAAAAAGCUGUCAAUGCUAUAUAUUAAGCAAACAUUAGAACUACAGAUAAACAAUAUCCAGAGUUUUACUAAUAGGCACUGUGCUACAUACACAUUAUAGUAGUAUUUAGUGUAUAGGUGUUCUACUUCAUAUCAAACUCUAAACUUACUUCUACCUUACAAAUAUCACACUCAGAUCUGUAUUAAAGUUUAGUGGUGUUUCUAUCUAUAAUGUUAUUAAAGUUUUUUGAUGCUUAUGUAAUGUUGUUAAGCUUUAAUGCUGUUUCUGUUUGUAAUGCUAAUAAGGUUUAUUGGUGCUUCUGAAAUGUUAUUAAGGUUUACUGGUGCUUCUGAAAUGUUAUUAAGGUUUACUGGUGGUUCUGAUAUGUUAUUAAGGUUUACUGGUGCUUCUGCCCAUAAUGUUAUUAAGGUUUACUGAUGCUUCUGUCUGUAAUUUUAUUGAGGUUUACUGGUGCUUCUGCCUGUAAUGUUAUUAAAGUUUACUGAUGUUUAUUAAAAUUUACUGAUGUUUCUGUAAUGUUUUUAAACUUUACUAGGUAAUAUUUUCUAUAUGAAUUCUAGAUGCAAAAUAUCAGUACACAUGAAGAUUUUUACUUACCAGUAAAAUACUAUUAACAUUUUAAGUGUGACUACUUUUGAGGGUUGAUGUAUUUCCAUUUUGCUUAAAAAUAACAUUGAUUUUUAACAGCUCCAUUAAUAUUUCUGGUAGAAGAAGAACUCAAGAACAAAAGAAAAAUUGUGAUUAUGUACUAUUUAGCAAAGAAGAGAUGUCUAGUAGAACAUUAAAGCUGGUUGUAUUUCUCUAAAAAUUAAAUUUCAACAACUUUC